Molecule: long non-coding RNA, 419 nt
Organism: Hippocampus zosterae (dwarf seahorse)
Lineage: Eukaryota; Metazoa; Chordata; Actinopteri; Syngnathiformes; Syngnathidae
Exons: 3
Source: RefSeq, a predicted model, not a curated record
CAAAUAUUUUCACACGGCACUGUAUAAAAGAAUACAUUUGACUAAAGUGAUCAUCAAUUGGAAGAAGUUUCAACUGACAAGUCGAGAACAGUCUGCUGUGGUGAACACGACAAUGAAGUGGUUGAUCUUGGCUUUCUGCGUCACCGUGCUGAUCAUAGCUGGUGAAGCUCUGCAAUGCCCUUCCUGUAAACCGUGGGUGCCAUUUUGUAUUCCUAAAAUGAUCGACUGCGCCGCGGGCCAAGUCUGCGGUAAUGACCCAUUCCACGGAGGGUGCGUAUGGCCGUGACAGUGACAGCGGACAAGCCCUCAACUUCAAGUGCUCCAGAAUGGACCACGGCGACCAUCCUUUCAUAAAAGUAUAAAAAAAAAAAAGUAUCCCUGUAGUUUAGUUGGAAAGCAUUAAAAAAUGUCAAAAAAAA